AUACGGAGGGUGCGAGCGUUAAUCGGAAUUACUGGGCGUAAAGCGCGCGUAGGCGGGUUGUUAAGUCGAAUGUGAAAUCCCCGGGCUCAACCUGGGACCUGCAUCCGAUACUGGCAGGCUAGAGUCUGGUAGAGGGGGGUAGAAUUCCUGGUGUAGCGGUGAAAUGCGUAGAUAUCAGGAGGAAUACCAGUGGCGAAGGCGGCCCCCUGGACUGAGACUGACGCUGAGGUGCGAAAGCGUGGGGAGCAAACAGGAUUAGAUACCCUUGUAGUCC
This 274-nucleotide ribosomal RNA is filed under the name uncultured bacterium. RNAcentral describes it as "partial 16S ribosomal RNA". It matches the Rfam family "Bacterial small subunit ribosomal RNA", at positions 523 to 796 of the family's 1533-position model. The record is from RNAcentral.